AGGACGAACGCUGGCGGCAUGCUUAACACAUGCAAGUCGAACGAGGUGCUUCGGCACUUAGUGGCGAACGGGUGAGUAACACGUGAGCAACCUGCCCUUGGCUCUGGGAUAGCCUCCGGAAACGGGGAUUAAUACCGGACAUGACCUUCCCCGGCAUCGGGGUUGGUGGAAAGUUUUUCGGCCAGGGAGGGGCUCGCGGCCUAUCAGCUUGUUGGGGGGGUAACGGCCCACCAAGGCGACGACGGGUAGCC
Molecule: ribosomal RNA, 251 nt
Filed under: uncultured bacterium
Lineage: Bacteria
Description: partial small subunit ribosomal RNA
Rfam family: Bacterial small subunit ribosomal RNA
Source: RNAcentral